GGCAGUGUAGCACAGUGGGUAAGGAACUGGGCUUGUAUCCGAAAGGUCAUAGGUUCGAUUCCCAGCUAGGACA
This 73-nucleotide transfer RNA is filed under the name Anguilla anguilla (European eel). Its description in RNAcentral is "tRNA-OTHER". Lineage: Eukaryota; Metazoa; Chordata; Actinopteri; Anguilliformes; Anguillidae. The record is from RNAcentral.